CCCACAAGCAUAGAUUACUCAGGAUGUUCUCUUUAGGCUCUCUUAACAUGAGAACCUUUAGCUUCUGAAAAAUCUGCAAUGCUACUCUGAGGUUGACAUUGAAAAGUAAGCACUUCUCAUAAUAUUAGCAUUGAAAAGUAAGGAUUUCUCAUAGUAAGAGAAAUGGCCCCAGAUCAAAUCUGUUGUUUUAUUUCAUCCUGGUAUUUUUCUUCUACGGAAUCUUCUUACCAAGCUCUGUGUGGCUUGGUUUUCUAACAAUUUCAGCCUAUUUCAGAAAGAUGAUGAGGAUGCAAACAAGAAGUAAUGCAAAAUUAGCCUACUAUGUUGCAUCCACAGGAGUGGAUUUCCCGUUUGCAUUAGGACUCCAUUAUUCACACCGUUAAAGACCAGUUAGCAGAUUAAUGCAUUAUCCCUCUAUGCUUCAAGCCCAUACUUAAUUUGUUUAGGUCAUUACCAACUUCCUUAUAACUGGCAUUUCCCUUUGGGUCUUAUACGUACAUCCUCAGGCAAUACCAUUUAACUCAUCAAUUCUUAGUCCUUUUUUUCCAAGUUCAAUUUUACUUUUAUCUGUAUUGCAUUUAACUCAGCUUUAGUAUGGCCGUUCAACAAGAAUGUUUUUGUAAUAAUAAAUUGAAUUGGGUUUAGUACACCAUGAAAAAUUGCUACAAAGUAUUCCCAAAGGAUUGCCUUACUUGGCAGGGUUGUAAUUCAGAAGGAUUUUUAAAAAUUGAUAAUAGAUGUUCAAAUUAUUACUCUUUAUAGCAUUGUUUUUCAAUACAACACAUCAAUUUUUAAAAUAUGUUAUUUCUGUCAGUGUUUAAUACAAAAACUCACCCAUUCUCACUGUAUGUAUAAGGUACACCACUGAUGUCCUAGUACAAAGUAGCACUGAUAUCUCAGGUGAGUGUUCCGAAAAUAAUGUCUAAGGAACCACAGGCUACUUGUUUUUGACUUAUGAGUCAAGGCUUCAUUCAGAACUUUUUUUUUUUUUUUUUUUUUUUUGAGACGGAGUCUUCCUCUGUCACCAGGCUACAGUGCAGUGGCAUGAUCUCGGCCCACUGCAACCUCUGCCUCCCAGGUUCAAGCGAUUCUCCUGACUCAGUCUCCCAAGUAACUGGGACUACAGGCACGUGCUACCACGCCCAGCUAAUUUUUGUAUUUUUAGUAGAGACGGGGUUUCACCAUGUUGGCCAGGAUGGUCUCGAUCUCUUGACCUCAUGAUCCACCCACUUCGGCCUCCCAAAGUGCUGGGAUUACAGGCGUGAGCCACCACACCCAGCCAGAACAUUUUUACUAGAAACUCUGUCCCUGUUUUCAAAUAGAUUCUGUUUUGAGAGUGGACAUCCCUGUCCUUUAUAUGCAAAUGCCCUCAACACCUGAACCAUCAAACAUAAAGGAGCAGAUAGCAAUUAAAGCUUGAAAAAGGAGUGUAUCUCAGCUGUUAGCUCAUCUAGUUAAAGAAUGAAAACAUCAAUCAAAUUAAUUACAAAGUAUCACAUGGUAAAAAAAAAAAAAAGAGAGAAGGUUUGGCAUGGAGAGAAGGACUCAACCCAUAGUAGUGUGUGUGUGUGUGAUUGAGCAGGACACACUGUUUGCAGAAUAGUAACAGGAAGAUAGCUGACAAAAGGGAUGUGUAAUUUACAGAAUUCCAGUCCUAGCAUCAGCAAGCAGAGUACAGAAGGGUGGAUUUGGAGUUGAAAGACAAUAGGCCAUCCGCCAAUCACAGGUUGCAUGAACAGAUAAAACAGAGAUGACUGGAUUGGUGAAGGAACACUGUUUUCAAGAAGGGUCAAUGAGUUGAGAAUGGUAUAAGGUAGAGUGUGGGAGGCUUCAUGUUUUGAAUAAGAUAAGCAUGUGCUUUAAGUUAAGGACCAAAAAUAUAUCAGGUUCUAAGGAACCCACCUAAUCAUACCAUGGAUAAAGGCUGGGGAAGGAAAGGUGAGUUACAGUUCUGUGCACAUCAAGGACAUGAUUCCAUGUAUUCUUGCUCAUUUGGACACCCUUGGAGUUAAUAGAUACGCAAUUCAGAAAGUCACAGGCCACAUCUCAGAAUUGUAUAUUUAAGAGGACCCCUAGCAACUCCCUAGACCAGUGCUACUCAAAUGAGAUUUUCUGACUUGUCCAUGAACUGUUUUCUACUAGCCCAUAACAAGCUAAUAAGCACAGCAAUUGCGAAUAAGCAUUGAUACACUUACGCUGAAAUUUGCCAGAAUAACAUUAUGUCUGUUGAAGCUAAUAAAAACUUGGGGCUUGUGUU
Molecule: long non-coding RNA, 2257 nt
Filed under: Homo sapiens (human)
Lineage: Eukaryota; Metazoa; Chordata; Mammalia; Primates; Hominidae
Description: HSALNT0358103
Source: RNAcentral